RNAcentral lists this unclassified non-coding RNA (338 nucleotides) under uncultured fungus. RNAcentral's name for it is "partial contains 5.8S ribosomal RNA and internal transcribed spacer 2". The stretch from base 1 to 133 matches the Rfam family "5.8S ribosomal RNA", at positions 22 to 154 of the family's 154-position model. The record is from RNAcentral. Lineage: Eukaryota; Fungi.
UGGUUCUGGCAUCGAUGAAGAACGCAGCGAAAUGCGAUAAGUAAUGUGAAUUGCAGAAUUCAGUGAAUCAUCGAAUCUUUGAACGCACAUUGCGCCCCUUGGCAUUCCGAGGGGCACACCUGUCCGAGCGUCAUUGCACCUCUCGAGCGCCCUCCCCGGGGGCUCGGUGUUGAGCCGCGCGUCCGUCGGGACGGGCUCGAACGGCAGUGGCGGUCCGGCGCGCCUUCCAGUGCAGUACGUUGUCGUUCGCUGGGACGGCGCGGCCCGGGUCCGGCCAGACCAAACCCCCCCGCAAGAUCGCACCGGUUGACCUCGGAUCAGGUGGGGAUACCCGCUGA